GAUGAACGCUGGCGGCGUGCCUAAUACAUGCAAGUCGAGCGAACGGACGAGAAGCUUGCUUCUCUGAUGUUAGCGGCGGACGGGUGAGUAACACGUGGAUAACCUACCUAUAAGACUGGGAUAACUUCGGGAAACCGGAGCUAAUACCGGAUAAUAUUUUGAACCGCAUGGUUCAAAAGUGAAAGACGGUCUUGCUGUCACUUAUAGAUGGAUCCGCGCUGCAUUAGCUAGUUGGUAAGGUAACGGCUUACCAAGGCAACGAUGCAUAGCCGACCUGAGAGGGGAGCAGCCCACCGUGAGAGAGGCACAGCGCCCACCCUCGGACGGAGGCAGGGAGGAGGGAUUCUUCGGAAGGGGGAGAAGGCCGGAGGAAGCAACGCGGGGGAGGUGAAAAGGGUCUUGGGACCUAAAACUUGUUUUAUGGGGAAAAAAGAAAUGUUUAAGUAAGAGUACAAUUCUGGAGGGACCCUAAGAAAAAAGCCCGGGCUAACUCUGUC
This 497-nucleotide ribosomal RNA is filed under the name uncultured bacterium. Its description in RNAcentral is "partial 16S ribosomal RNA". It matches the Rfam family "Bacterial small subunit ribosomal RNA", at positions 28 to 507 of the family's 1533-position model. The record is from RNAcentral.